This 87-nucleotide transfer RNA is filed under the name Escherichia coli. RNAcentral's name for it is "tRNA-Leu". It matches the Rfam family "tRNA". Rfam says of the family: Transfer RNA (tRNA) molecules are approximately 80 nucleotides in length. Their secondary structure includes four short double-helical elements and three loops (D, anti-codon, and T loops). Lineage: Bacteria; Pseudomonadati; Pseudomonadota; Gammaproteobacteria; Enterobacterales; Enterobacteriaceae. The record is from RNAcentral.
GCGAAGGUGGCGGAAUUGGCAGACGCGCUAGCUUCAGGUGUUAGUGUUCUUACGGACGUGGGGGUUCAAGUCCCCCCCCUCGCACCA